RNAcentral lists this ribosomal RNA (424 nucleotides) under uncultured prokaryote. Its description in RNAcentral is "bacterial SSU rRNA". It matches the Rfam family "Bacterial small subunit ribosomal RNA", at positions 355 to 796 of the family's 1533-position model. The record is from RNAcentral.
UGGGGAAUAUUGGACAAUGGGCGAAAGCCUGAUCCAGCAAUGCCGCGUGAGUGAUGAAGGCCUUAGGGUUGUAAAGCUCUUUUACCAGGGAUGAUAAUGACAGUACCUGGAGAAUAAGCUCCGGCUAACUCCGUGCCAGCAGCCGCGGUAAUACGGAGGGAGCUAGCGUUGUUCGGAAUUACUGGGCGUAAAGCGCGCGUAGGCGGUUUUUCAAGUCAGGGGUGAAAUCCCGGAGCUCAACUCCGGAACUGCCCUUGAAACUGGAUGACUAGAAUCCUGGAGAGGCGAGUGGAAUUCCGAGUGUAGAGGUGAAAUUCGUAGAUAUUCGGAAGAACACCAGUGGCGAAGGCGACUCGCUGGACAGGUAUUGACGCUGAGGUGCGAAAGCGUGGGGAGCAAACAGGAUUAGAUACCCCCGUAGUCC